RNAcentral lists this ribosomal RNA (484 nucleotides) under uncultured bacterium. RNAcentral describes it as "partial 16S ribosomal RNA". It matches the Rfam family "Bacterial small subunit ribosomal RNA", at positions 29 to 507 of the family's 1533-position model. The record is from RNAcentral.
AUUGAACGCUGGCGGCAUGCUUUACACAUGCAAGUCGAACGGCAGCGCGGGCUUCGGCCUGGCGGCGAGUGGCGAACGGGUGAGUAAUACAUCGGAACGUGCCCAGUAGUGGGGGAUAGCUCGGCGAAAGCCGGAUUAAUACCGCAUACGACCUGAGGGUGAAAGCGGGGGAUCUUCGGACCUCGCGCUCUUGGAGCGUCCGAUGGCAGAUUAGCUAGUUGGUGGGGUAAAGGCCUACCAAGGCGACGAUCUGUAGCUGGUCUGAGAGGACGACCAGCCACACUGGGACUGAGACACGGCCCAGACUCCUACGGGAGGCAGCAGUGGGGAAUUUUGGACAAUGGGCGAAAGCCUGAUCCAGCAAUGCCGCGUGUGUGAUGAAGGCCUUCGGGUUGUAAAGCACUUUUGGCGGGAACGAAAAGGACUGUGCCAAUACCACGGUUCGAUGACGGUACCCGAAGAAUAAGCACCGGCUAACUACGUG